RNAcentral lists this ribosomal RNA (1195 nucleotides) under Brevibacterium sp. RNAcentral's name for it is "bacterial SSU rRNA". It matches the Rfam family "Bacterial small subunit ribosomal RNA", at positions 266 to 1473 of the family's 1533-position model. The record is from RNAcentral. Lineage: Bacteria; Bacillati; Actinomycetota; Actinomycetes; Micrococcales; Brevibacteriaceae.
GGGCGAAUCGAACGGGUAGGCCUGCUGAGAGUCGAGCCGACACACUGGGACUGAGAACACGGCCAGACUCUUACCGGGAGGCAGCAGUGGGGGAUAUGCACAAUGGGGGAACUGAUGCAGCGACGCAGCGUGCGGGAUGACGGCCUUCGGGUUGUAAACCGCUUUCAGCAGGGAAGAAGCGAAAGUGACGGUACCUGCAGAAGAAGUACCGGGCUAACUACGUGCCAGCAGCCGCGGUAAUACGUAGGGUACGAGCGUUGUCCGGAAUUAUUGGGCGUAAAGAGCUCGUAGGUGGUUGGUCACGUCUGCUGUGGAAACGCAACGCUUAACGUUGCGCGUGCAGUGGGUACGGGCUGACUAGAGUGCAGUAGGGGGAGUCUGGAAUUCCUGGUGUAGCGGUGAAAUGCGCAGAUAUCAGGAGGAACACCGGUGGCGAAGGCGGGACUCUGGGCUGUAACUGACACUGAGGAGCGAAAGCAUGGGGAGCGAACAGGAUUAGAUACCCUGGUAGUCCAUGCCGUAAACGUUGGGCACUAGGUGUGGGGGACAUUCCACGUUCUCCGCGCCGUAGCUAACGCAUUAAGUGCCCCGCCUGGGGAGUACGGUCGCAAGGCUAAAACUCAAAGGAAUUGACGGGGGCCCGCACAAGCGGCGGAGCAUGCGGAUUAAUUCGAUGCAACGCGAAGAACCUUACCAAGGCUUGACAUACACUGGACCGUUCUGGAAACAGUUCUUCUCUUUGGAGCUGGUGUACAGGUGGUGCAUGGUUGUCGUCAGCUCGUGUCGUGAGAUGUUGGGUUAAGUCCCGCAACGAGCGCAACCCUCGUUCUAUGUUGCCAGCACGUGAUGGUGGGAACUCAUAGGAGACUGCCGGGGUCAACUCGGAGGAAGGUGGGGAUGACGUCAAAUCAUCAUGCCCUUUAUGUCUUGGGCUUCACGCAUGCUACAAUGGCUGGUACAGAGAGAGGCGAACCCGUGAGGGUAAGCGAAUCCCUUAAAGCCAGUCUCAGUUCGGAUCGUAGUCUGCAAUUCGACUACGUGAAGUCGGAGUCGCUAGUAAUCGCAGAUCAGCAACGCUGCGGUGAAUACGUUCCCGGGCCUUGUACACACCGCCCGUCAAGUCACGAAAGUCGGUAACACCCGAAGCCGGUGUCCCAACCCACUUGUGGGAGGGACCGUCUAAAGGUGAGCGGUA